GUCCCUGAACCGGUACAAUUAGCAUAACCUGGGAAUGGGUUAGACAUACAGAGUCUCAGACUGAAUCCAGACCUAUUGAAUCAGAAACUCAAGGGGCAGGGUUCUGCAGUCUGUAAUUUAACAAGCUCUCCAGCUGAUUCUGAUGCACGCUAAAGUUCGAGAGCUAUUUAAGCUGAAAGAACCCAAGUAGGGAUUUAUGACCUUUGCCUGCUUUUCAGUUGGGAAUAAAAAUAAAACCCAAAACACUAUACUGCAUAUUUAUUUUAUAAUUCAUAUUUUAAAGGAAUAUAUAAUUUAUAUCUUCACAGUACAUGCCAGUUCCUCAUACUCAACUUCAUGAAUACAAGUUCAAGAAGGCAGAAAUUUUGUUUUAUUAACUGAAAUAUCCAUAAUAUUUAGAACAAUGCUGACUUAAACAUAUGUACUGAUUAGCCCUGAGCUAACAUCUGCUUCCAAUCAUCCUCUUUUUGCUGAGGGAGACUGGCCUUGAGCUAAUAUCUGUAACAUCCAUCUUCUGCUACUUGAUAUGUGGGAUGCCUGCCACAGAAUGGCUUGCCAAGUGGUUGGUAGGUCCACACCCAGCAUCUGAACUGGCAAACCCCA
Molecule: long non-coding RNA, 603 nt
Filed under: Equus caballus (horse)
Lineage: Eukaryota; Metazoa; Chordata; Mammalia; Perissodactyla; Equidae
Description: lncRNA (ENSECAG00000047524.1)
Source: RNAcentral